RNAcentral lists this microRNA (22 nucleotides) under Chrysemys picta bellii (western painted turtle). Its description in RNAcentral is "Cpi-Mir-133-P4-v1_5p* (star (passenger))". The record is from RNAcentral. RNAcentral also lists the same sequence under 8 other names. Lineage: Eukaryota; Metazoa; Chordata; Testudines; Emydidae.
GCUGGUAAAAAGGAACCAGAUC